GCGAACGGGUGAGUAACGCGUGAGGAACUUGCCUCAAAGAGGGGGACAACAGUUGGAAACGACUGCUAAUACCGCAUAAGCCCACGGCUCGGCAUCGAGCAGAGGGAAAAGGAGCAAUUCGCUUUGAGAUGGCCUCGCGUCCGAUUAGCUAGUUGGUGAGGUAAUGGCCCACCAAGGCGACGAUCGGUAGCCGGACUGAGAGGUUGAACGGCCACAUUGGGACUGAGACACGGCCCAGACUCCUACGGGAGGCAGCAGUGGGGAAUAUUGCACAAUGGGGGAAACCCUGAUGCAGCGACGCCGCGUGGAGGAAGAAGGUCUUCGGAUUGUAAACUCCUGUUGUUGAGGAAGAUAAUGACGGUACUCAACAAGGAAGUGACGGCUAACUACGUGCCAGCAGCCGCGGUAAAACGUAGGUCACAAGCGUUGUCCGGAAUUACUGGGUGUAAAGGGAGCGCAGGCGGGAGAACAAGUUGGAAGUGAAAUCCAUGGGCUCAACCCAUGAACUGCUUUCAAAACUGUUUUUCUUGAGUAGUGCAGAGGUAGGCGGAAUUCCCGGUGUAGCGGUGGAAUGCGUAGAUAUCGGGAGGAACACCAGUGGCGAAGGC
This 608-nucleotide ribosomal RNA is filed under the name uncultured Lachnospiraceae bacterium. Its description in RNAcentral is "bacterial SSU rRNA". It matches the Rfam family "Bacterial small subunit ribosomal RNA", at positions 98 to 722 of the family's 1533-position model. Lineage: Bacteria; Bacillati; Bacillota; Clostridia; Lachnospirales; Lachnospiraceae. The record is from RNAcentral.